Molecule: ribosomal RNA, 492 nt
Filed under: uncultured bacterium
Lineage: Bacteria
Description: partial 16S ribosomal RNA
Rfam family: Bacterial small subunit ribosomal RNA
Source: RNAcentral
AGUGAACGCUGGCGGUAGGCCUAACACAUGCAAGUCGAACGGCAGCACAGUAAGAGCUUGCUCUUACGGGUGGCGAGUGGCGGACGGGUGAGGAAUACAUCGGAAUCUACUUUUUCGUGGGGGAUAACGUAGGGAAACUUACGCUAAUACCGCAUAUGACCUACGGGUGAAAGCAGGGGAUCUUCGGACCUUGCGCGACUGAAUGAGCCGAUGUCGGAUUAGCUAGUUGGCGGGGUAAAGGCCCACCAAGGCGACGAUCCGUAGCUGGUCUGAGAGGAUGAUCAGCCACACUGGAACUGAGACACGGUCCAGACUCCUACGGGAGGCAGCAGUGGGGAAUAUUGGACAAUGGGCGCAAGCCUGAUCCAGCCAUACCGCGUGGGUGAAGAAGGCCUUCGGGUUGUAAAGCCCUUUUGUUGGGAAAGAAAAGCAGCAGGUUAAUACCCCGCUGUUCUGACGGUACCCAAAGAAUAAGCACCGGCUAACUUCGUG